RNAcentral lists this long non-coding RNA (1678 nucleotides) under Nicotiana tabacum (common tobacco). Its description in RNAcentral is "long non-coding RNA (NTAB_LNC010911)". The record is from RNAcentral. Lineage: Eukaryota; Viridiplantae; Streptophyta; Magnoliopsida; Solanales; Solanaceae.
AAAUCUUAUUUAUGAGCUAAAGGUCGAGAGAUAGAACAUUGAGUCAAUCCAAAGGAUGAGUUCAAAAUAUUCCAACAUAUUUUAGUCUCAAACAUUGCAUAUUUGGUUUAGUGACAGAGGAUUAACUAUAUGCUAACCUAAAAUCAUAAACUGAAAAAGUAGGACACUGCAAAUUACAUCAAUCAAAUAUUCAAAUUAAAGCAUAUUAAACAACUCAAAUAAACAACAAAUCAGAAUAUAGCUCAAAUCAUAGUCAUCUUGUACUGCUAUGGACUAACAUGUAAACCCAGACAACUAGAUGCAAAAUCAAAAUCUCAAACAGCCCUUCCAAGGCUUCUACCAGCUGUAAGAAAAUUAAGAUAGAAUAGUGGAAAAUAAACCCGUUGAGCAAAAUCCUUUAAUAAUAACAGAAUGUAGUUAUCAAAUACAAGCUUGAGUUCAAAUCCACUCCAAGAGAAAAACUCGAAAAUCAGGAACUUGAUGGAAACAAAACAUAGCAAAACGUGAGGAGCUCAGCAUCAUGAAUCCGCCAGAAAAUCAGCAACAAAAAAUCAACAAAUUUAGACCUCUAUAGCUUGUGAAAAUCCAGAAAAAGGAAUUCAUCUCUGAAAUCGUAUUUCUUCAAAUCUUUAUCGAAAAAUCCAGUUUUCUUUCUAUUAUUUCUAGCUUUUGAUUUUCAGAUCUUCAGCUAAAAAAACAACAUUGUUUCAACUGGGUUUGGGCGGUAAUUUUCGGCAGUUUGCUUGAGGGGAGUGGCUCAUUUUUGUCCCUCUCGGUUGUUGCUUGUUUUUAGAGCUAAAGUAACAUAUUUUCAUGGCUGAAACGGGCUAGGAUGGAAGAUGAAGAUGGAGAUGGUUGUUUUUCGCUGAGGAAGAGCUAAGCUCUGGAAUGCCGUUGCCAGUUUUUGUCGAGGAGAGGGUCUCUUUCUCUAUUGAAAAUGAGAGAUGGUUAGAGAGAGAGCAGUCCCCUCUCUCUUGAGGUAACGACGCUGUCUCUAUAAAGAUAGAGGGUGGGGUCCGAUUAUUUUUGUUCUAGGUCUUCUGAUCUUAGGUCUAGGGAUUUAAGGAAAAAAAUGGGGAAAGGGAAGAUUGGGCUAGGGUUUAAAAGUUAAUUUGGGCCAUUUUAGGAAUUGGCCCAAUUUUAAAAGAAAUAAGACCAAAAAUAUAUUCUUUCUAUUUUCAUUUUCUUCGUUUGUUUACCAUAAAAAUGGUAACAAUAAUUAAAUUUGUAAAUGGGAUUCUAAAAAUAUGUGAUCUAUUUUUAUGCUAGUUGUUUAGAGCAAUUGAUGCUAAGAAUAUGAAGUUUAUGGCAAAAUACGAGAUAGAAAUGGAGCGAUAACCAAGCCUAAAGUCUUACUGUCCGGGCUUGUUUAACAAGGGGAUACAAGCUAGAACGGGGAGUUAAACGAAUCGAGAAACCUGAUGCCCGAGUGUACGAUUAGUCGAUGAGGGGCCUCGAGGUCGAUGUCCGGCCCGAUCUCGAGUUAUCGGGGUCGAUAUCUGGCUCGAGUUCGAGGUGUCGGGGGUAGUUGGGGAUGGGAUAACAGUUAAGAUAUGAUCAUACAAGGCUCUUUAUGAUCAAUAUCAGGCAAUAAAUGAAGAACAAAUAAGAAAAUGAUAAAAUACUAAAAUGGUCUCGAGCCAGUACGAAUAAGCGAGUAAGAGAGGAGAGAGAGAGA